AUACGUAGGCAGCAAGCGUUGUUCGGAGUUACUGGGCGUAAAGAGUGCGUAGGUGGUUCUCUAAGUUCGGUGUGAAAUCUCCCGGCUCAACUGGGAGGGUGCGCCGAAAACUGGAGGGCUUGAGUAUGGGAGAGGAGAGCGGAAUUCCUGGUGUAGCGGUGAAAUGCGUAGAUAUCAGGAGGAAUACCGGUGGCGAAGGCGACUUUCUGGACGAAUACUGACGCUGAUGCGCGAAAGCGUGGGGAGC
This 247-nucleotide ribosomal RNA is filed under the name uncultured bacterium. Its description in RNAcentral is "partial 16S ribosomal RNA". It matches the Rfam family "Bacterial small subunit ribosomal RNA", at positions 523 to 769 of the family's 1533-position model. The record is from RNAcentral.